Molecule: ribosomal RNA, 477 nt
Filed under: uncultured bacterium
Lineage: Bacteria
Description: bacterial SSU rRNA
Rfam family: Bacterial small subunit ribosomal RNA
Source: RNAcentral
AUGAACGUUGGCGGCGUGGAUUAGGCAUGCGAGUCGUACGAGAACCCGCAAGGGGGAAAGUGGCGAACGGGGUAGUAAUGCGUAGGUGACGUGCCCUGCGGUCGGGGAUAGCUUAGGGAAACUUAAGGUAAUACCCGAUGACACCAUGCGGUUUGAAUACCAUAUGGUCAAAGGUGUGAUUCCACCACAGGAGCGGCUUGCGUGGUAUUAGCUAGUUGGUGAGGUAACGGCUCACCAAGGCAACGAUGCCUAGGGGAUGUUAGCGCAUGAUCCCCACCACUGGGACUGAGAUACUGCCCAGACACCUACGGGUGGCUGCAGUCGAGAAUCUUCGGCAAUGGGGGAAACCCUGACCGAGCGACGCCGCGUGUGGGAUGAAGGCCCUUGGGUUGUAAACCACUGUCAGAGGGGAUGAAAUGCUAGAGAGCUAUCUCUCUAGUUUGACAUAGCCUCAGAGGAAGCACGGGCUAAGUUCGU